RNAcentral lists this ribosomal RNA (465 nucleotides) under Vreelandella stevensii. RNAcentral's name for it is "partial 16S ribosomal RNA". It matches the Rfam family "Bacterial small subunit ribosomal RNA", at positions 338 to 795 of the family's 1533-position model. The record is from RNAcentral. Lineage: Bacteria; Pseudomonadati; Pseudomonadota; Gammaproteobacteria; Oceanospirillales; Halomonadaceae.
CCUACGGGGUGCUGCAGUGGGGAAUAUUGGACAAUGGGCGAAAGCCUGAUCCAGCCAUGCCGCGUGUGUGAAGAAGGCCUUCGGGUUGUAAAGCACUUUCAGUGGGGAAGAAAGCCUUGGGGCUAAUACCCUCGAGGAAGGACAUCACCCACAGAAGAAGCACCGGCUAACUCCGUGCCAGCAGCCGCGGUAAUACGGAGGGUGCGAGCGUUAAUCGGAAUUACUGGGCGUAAAGCGCGCGUAGGCGGUCUGAUAAGCCGGUUGUGAAAGCCCCGGGCUCAACCUGGGAACGGCAUCCGGAACUGUCAGGCUAGAGUGCAGGAGAGGAAGGUAGAAUUCCCGGUGUAGCGGUGAAAUGCGUAGAGAUCGGGAGGAAUACCAGUGGCGAAGGCGGCCUUCUGGACUGACACUGGCGCUGAGGUGCGAAAGCGUGGGUAGCAAACAGGAUUAGAUACCCGAGUAGUC